Molecule: unclassified non-coding RNA, 1682 nt
Filed under: Leishmania donovani
Lineage: Eukaryota; Euglenozoa; Kinetoplastea; Trypanosomatida; Trypanosomatidae
Description: gene:LdHU3.24.2290(CDS-product:RNA_recognition_mo tif._(a.k.a._RRM_RBD_or_RNP_domain)/RNA_recognition_motif_( a.k.a._RRM_RBD_or_RNP_domain)_putative)
Source: RNAcentral
AUACACGCCAACUGCUACGGCGUCCACCAUCUCUUCUCUCAACCUUUCUCCGCUCAGCUGUUUCACCUGAGAGCAUAAAGGCAGUCUACAGAGAAACCAUCAAAGCCGCUACGCUUCUCUUGCAUCCUACCUCCCAACAAUGGACAGCGACUUGUCUGCUGAGAUAGCGCGCAUCGAGGCAGAGUUGGCGCAAGAUGCAGAGUUGCGCCAGCAGCAGCAGCAGCAGCAGCAGCUGGCACCGCAGCUGUCGCAGCAGCCUCCUGCCUCCUUAUUUGGCUUUGGCCAGACAGCCCCGGCCCAGCCGCAACAGCAGCAGCAACAGCUGUUCCACACCCAGCCUCCACAACCACAGCAGCAACCAUCCAACCCCUUCAACGUCAAUGCCAGUCCCUUCAUGCCGACACCGCAGCAGCCUGAUUACUCGCAGCAACAGCAACAGCAGCAGCAGCCCAUAGGUAGCGCUGGGCAGGCCGCCGCGCAAGCCUGUGCACCAACGCCAAUCAUUCACAGCUUCUCCAAGGACACAGACAGCCGUUCGAUCUUCAUCGGCAACUUGCCAAGGGGGACCGACGGCACCCCGGCGACGACGCCGGAGGAGCUAGUGCAGUUCUUCGCUGACUGUGGCAACAUUCUCAACUGCACGGUGCUGAAGGACCGCGCGACAGGGGAGCCGAAGGGCACCGCCUACAUUGAAUUCGCCGACUACACGGCGAUGGGCAAGGCCAUCGAUACAAAGAACAACGCCAACUUCAAGGGCAGCACUAUAAUUGUAUGCGUGAGUACGUCCCCUAUCUUUUACUUGCAGGUUUCUUCGGUUAAUCUUCUAAAGCCCAUGCAGCGGCCUCGCGCGUGGAGGGGGUGCGCGUGAGCGGAGUGUGUCCGUCUGUGGCAAUGGAGGUGUGUUUCGCUGGCGUGCUGUCUUUGGUUAGAGGGGUCGUGCACGUGUGCCCGCACUCUGGCAUCGAAGACAGCGCACGUGGAGCACCCACAUGCACACCCUCCCUCCCUCACACAUCUGGCCAUCCUCACCCGCCCUCUUUUCUACCCCUCCCCCCCCCUCUCCCCCUAACUAAAAGGAAAGCCUGCUUAUGCACGCAUGCACAUUUGUCCGUGUGUGCGCAGUGGGGUGGGGUGGGGUGGGUGUGGAGUCGGUGCAUGCGACUGUAUAUGUGAAUAGUGUCGAUGCAGGUGUGUGCGUGUGCAGGUGAUCAGUGAGGAAUUCGGGGCGUUGGACGGCAGACAGGCAGACAGACACGCAACAGCUAAAGGAUGCGACCCGCCCGCGGAACGGUGUGCAGUCAUCAUGGCACAUACGCACCGCUAGACGAGUGAACUGCAAAACAAACGCACAAGGAGACACACACACACACGCACACACAGCGAAAACUUCUAAAGCAAAGGAUGAGACAAAGAAAAAGCACGCGUGCGUGGAGGUGUGAUGGUGAUCGUGGGUCGCGUCGGUUGUGGUGGUAAGAGGAUCGAGGUGUUGAUGAGGUGGCGGCGAACACACACAUCCACAUAGCGAGAGAGGCGAGAAAGUGAGAGGAGAGCAGAGCGAGUGAGGUUGGGGAGGCGGGAUACGGAACCGUGCAUGAGUCCCAGAUCAAACCGCUGCUUCUUCCUCCUUCCCUCGCUCUCCCUGUCCCUUCCGCUCCUUUUCCUCUGUGCGCGUGUGUAUGUAG